UUGCAUAUCAAUAAGCGGAGGAAAAGAAACUAACAAGGAUUCCCCUAGUAGCGGCGAGCGAAGCGGGAAGAGCUCAAAUUUAUAAUCUGGCACCUUCGGUGUCCGAGUUGUAAUCUCUAGAAAUGUUUUCCGCGUUGGACCGCACACAAGUCUGUUGGAAUACAGCGGCAUAGUGGUGAGACCCCCGUAUAUGGUGCGGACGCCCAGCGCUUUGUGAUACAUUUUCGAAGAGUCGAGUUGUUUAAU
This 246-nucleotide ribosomal RNA is filed under the name Rhodotorula mucilaginosa. RNAcentral's name for it is "partial 26S ribosomal RNA". It matches the Rfam family "Eukaryotic large subunit ribosomal RNA", at positions 36 to 278 of the family's 3401-position model. Lineage: Eukaryota; Fungi; Basidiomycota; Microbotryomycetes; Sporidiobolales; Sporidiobolaceae. The record is from RNAcentral.